Molecule: ribosomal RNA, 587 nt
Filed under: uncultured bacterium
Lineage: Bacteria
Description: bacterial SSU rRNA
Rfam family: Bacterial small subunit ribosomal RNA
Source: RNAcentral
CCUACGGGAGGCAGCAGUGGGGAAUUUUGGACAAUGGGCGCAAGCCUGAUCCAGCAAUGCCGCGUGAGUGAAGAAGGCCUUCGGGUUGUAAAGCUCUUUUGUCAGGGAAGAAACGGUUCGGGUUAAUACCUUGGGCUAAUGACGGUACCUGAAGAAUAAGCACCGGCUAACUACGUGCCAGCAGCCGCGGUAAUACGUAGGGUGCAAGCGUUAAUCGGAAUUACUGGGCGUAAAGCGUGCGCAGGCGGUUGUGCAAGACAGAUGUGAAAUCCCCGGGCUCAACCUGGGAAUUGCAUUUGUGACUGUACGGCUAGAGUGUGUCAGAGGGGGGUAGAAUUCCACGUGUAGCAGUGAAAUGCGUAGAGAUGUGGAGGAAUACCGAUGGCGAAGGCAGCCCCCUGGGAUAACACUGACGCUCAUGCACGAAAGCGUGGGGAGCAAACAGGAUUAGAUACCCUGGUAGUCCACGCCCUAAACGAUGUCUACUAGUUGUCGGGUCUUUAUUGACUUGGUAACGCAGCUAACGCGUGAAGUAGACCGCCUGGGGAGUACGGUCGCAAGAUUAAAAACUCAAAAGGAAUUGACGG